CACAGCAAGGCAUAGAUUCCCUCGGUUGCAUAGCGACCGCCCACCAUGUCAUUGUGAUGCUUCUGUAAACUACCGCUCGAGUGUUUGGAUGCCUGUAAACAAGACUCUCCAGUGAUGACCUGGGGGAUGCAAAAGUUUUGAGGAGGAUGCUCUUCCACCAAGACAUCUUCAUUAAAUGAUUGUUCUCUUGAUAUAACGGGUACAUUUAAUCACCAGAAACGAAGCCAACACUUUCAUCACUCAGCUGUCGUCGUGCACCAUAAAUUCUUGAGCUUAUCACCUUUGCUUUGUGGCACGUUUAAGAUUCAUCUUCACAGCCUGCUCGGACUGAAUAACAGCAUUCAUGGCUGACGUUAAGAUGGACAAUCGGUUAGAGUGUUUUUUGCCCCUGAGUUUUAACCUGCCAGACUGAAUACAUCGAGACACUGUUUUGAUUUCAACUUGA
Molecule: non-coding RNA, 445 nt
Organism: Poecilia reticulata (guppy)
Lineage: Eukaryota; Metazoa; Chordata; Actinopteri; Cyprinodontiformes; Poeciliidae
Source: RefSeq, a predicted model, not a curated record